CUCCGUUGGUGAACCAGCGGAGGGAUCAUUAC
Molecule: ribosomal RNA, 32 nt
Filed under: [Hypocrella] hypoxylon var. piluliformis
Lineage: Eukaryota; Fungi; Ascomycota; Sordariomycetes; Hypocreales; Clavicipitaceae
Description: Balansia pilulaeformis partial 18S ribosomal RNA
Source: RNAcentral